Molecule: ribosomal RNA, 491 nt
Filed under: uncultured Actinomycetes bacterium
Lineage: Bacteria; Bacillati; Actinomycetota; Actinomycetes
Description: bacterial SSU rRNA
Rfam family: Bacterial small subunit ribosomal RNA
Source: RNAcentral
CUAUGUGCCAGCAGCCGCGGUAAUACAUAGGGUGCAAGCGUUGUCCGGAAUUAUUGGGCGUAAAGAGCUCGUAGGUGGUUUAUCACGUCGGAUGUGAAAUUCUGAGGCUCAACCUCGGACCUGCAUUCGAUACGGGCAAACUAGAGUGUGGUAGGGGAGGCUGGAAUUCCUGGUGUAGCGGUGGAAUGCGCAGAUAUCAGGAGGAACACCAAUGGCGAAGGCAGGUCUCUGGGCCAUUACUGACACUGAGGAGCGAAAGCGCGGGGAGCGAACAGGAUUAGAUACCCCUGGUAGUCCGCGCCCGUAAACGGUGGGCACUAGUUGUGGGAACCUUCCACGGUUUCCGCGACGCAGCUAACGCAUUAAGUGCCCCGCCUGGGGAGUACGAUCGCAAGAUUAAAACUCAAAGGAAUUGACGGGGCCCCCGCACAAGCAGCGGAGCAUGCGGCUUAAUUUCGACGCAACGCGAAGAAACCCUUACCCAAGGCUUG